UGAGCGCUCUGUGUAGUUGCAUACAGAGAGACCGUAACAUGAGGCUGUGGCUGAGUGCAGCAAUUUAUAUCUGUGUAACAGGUCUUUCCAGGGCAGACAGUGUCAACCAAGCAACCUCCUCUAAGACUGCUGAAGAUGGGGAUGAUAUAACAUUGAACUGUACGUAUGAGACAGCUAGCAGCAUCCCAUAUCUCCAUUGGUACAUUCAACAACCAGGAGAGAGACCUCGGUUUAUAUUACUGAGAGAUCAGUUCAGCAAGGUAGAGACUGAACCUGGUACCCGUUAUGCCUCCAAACUGGAUAAAGAGACCAAAUCUACCUACCUGAAGAUUUCUGAUGUCACAGUGUCUGACUCUGGGGUGUAUUAUUGUGCUCUGAGGCCCACAGUGUCUGUGUCUGCAGACUGUGCUGUUCAAUAAGCUCUGACUCUGUCCAAGGUUCUGAUACAAGGCUGUAUA
Pelobates fuscus (common spadefoot toad) is the source of this 458-nucleotide non-coding RNA. The record is from the annotation of a RefSeq genome assembly. Lineage: Eukaryota; Metazoa; Chordata; Amphibia; Anura; Pelobatidae.